This 467-nucleotide ribosomal RNA is filed under the name uncultured bacterium. RNAcentral's name for it is "partial 16S ribosomal RNA". It matches the Rfam family "Bacterial small subunit ribosomal RNA", at positions 28 to 506 of the family's 1533-position model. The record is from RNAcentral.
GACGAACGCUGGCGGCGUGCUUAACACAUGCAAGUCGAACGGAAAGGCCCUGCUUUUGUGGGGUGCUCGAGUGGCGAACGGGUGAGUAACACGUGAGUAACCUGCCCUUGACUUUGGGAUAACUUCAGGAAACUGGGGCUAAUACCGGAUAGGAGCUCCUGCUGCAUGGUGGGGGUUGGAAAGUUUCGGCGGUUGGGGAUGGACUCGCGGCUUAUCAGCUUGUUGGUGGGGUAGUGGCUUACCAAGGCUUUGACGGGUAGCCGGCCUGAGAGGGUGACCGGCCACAUGGGCAAUGAGAUACGGCCCAGACUCAUACGGGAGGCAGCAGUGGGGAAUAUUGAACAAUGGGCGGAAGAAUGAUGCAGCAACGCAGGGUGCGGGAUGACGGCAUUCGGGUUGUAAACCGCUUUCGCCUGUGACGAAGCGUGAGUGACGGUACUGGGUAAAGAAGCACCGGCUAACUACGU